This 1844-nucleotide unclassified non-coding RNA is filed under the name Neodiprion pinetum (white pine sawfly). Its description in RNAcentral is "uncharacterized LOC124222940, transcript variant X2". The record is from RNAcentral. Lineage: Eukaryota; Metazoa; Arthropoda; Insecta; Hymenoptera; Diprionidae.
CUCUUGGUUUCUACCUCCAGAUUCGUCAUCUUGUUCCGGUACAGUCUCGCGGUAAAAUCCUUUUGCCUUUUGCAUUUAAACUUUUCAUACAACGUUACUCUGCCCAAAAGUCCAGCGAGCUUCAGCUCCAUUGUGUCAUACUAAGUUUAAGAUCUCACACUGUGUAACUCCGUUUUUGUGACUUUUAAAUAUCGAACUUAUAAAAUAAACCAAGUCAGUCAAAAUAUCCAAAUAUUAGAGUCAGUUAUUCCACUAAAGCCUCUCACCAAUCUACGCUGCAAGUCAUCACACCCAGAAUAUUCUCAAAAAGCCUGUGAAAUGUGGAUACUGUAGCUGGCUAAUACAAGGUUGUCCAAAUAUCCUACAACACAAAUGCUUGGAGCAUUAUGACGAGCACGUAGAGUGCCUGAAAGUUGAUGAAAAUAUUGUUACUUUGGUACCAAGACCAGGCGUUACGGAAUCUCCAAGUACCGAAGAGGUCGACGAUGAGAAUGUACUGUGCGACGAGCUUCUCAUUGAAGCUGUUUCCAAAAGAGUCUUUUCAAAUCUGCAACACCUUGGGAGGCAUCACUACAGAUGAUGCGAAAAAAAGAUGGCAAUACUUACGAGAUUGUUAAAUGAAGGAAAAAACGAAGCAGCAGACAUACACACCUAGCGGGUCUGCAGCUGGCACAUUAAAAAAACCGUCAUUCUGACAUUAUGACCUAAUGAAGUUUGUGGGCGACUCGUUACCGAAUACACAGUACGUUUAUUUUCUUAUCAGAAAUAUGAUGGGAGAUAUACACUGCCAGCCAAAAUUUUGGGUACACCAGUUGAAAUUUCUUGUCGCACUGAAAAAUUAGAUAGAGGACUCAAAAAUGAAGAUAAUCGAAUUUUCCAAGCGGCGUUUUAAAGAGGAGAAAUUAACUUUCAUUUUUCUUUUUUUCUAUAAAAUUCUCCAAUUAUUUUUUAUCUCAGUACAUAUUUUUGAAAAUGGCCAUUUUUCAGCUGCCGAAAAUGACACCUACAGCUAAGGGAAACUUUUUCCUCGGUUCUAGCUACACUAAAAUUGAAAAGGAUAUCAAAACCUACAUUUUCGUUUUUUAGAAAGUUUCGUACGAUUUUUUCGCUCCCGUAUUGCAUUUUCAGUUAAAAAAUGCAUGUUUUAGACAAAAAAAGCGUAAUACAAUAACUAUGGAGUUUCACAGGAAAUGUCAAGAGAGUAAAAAGUUGCGUAAGUUCAGACCAGAGUAGUUAGAAUUUUUCAGAUUUUUUGUUUUAUUUUCAUUUUUUUACAAUUUUCUGUCGGGACUGAAGAGUGGAGGGGCUCCAUUUGGGAAUUAUGAGGUCUAGGAUAAUAUACCAAGAAAGAAAAUUUGUUUACGUUUUCAAUCUUAAAAUCUUAACUACAAUUGUUUCAGAAUUUUUUGAAAUCUUAUGUUAAAAUUUUUUUCGGCUGGAACUCGGAGAAUCAUCGUCAAUGAGCUUUUUUCCUGAAGUACGAAGAAUUACUCACUAGCAGCGCUAGUAGUUCGGUAGGGACAAACACUGUCUAACCCCCAUAUAAACACACAGUAAAGUGCACUAAAAAAAAAUGUUUUUAACAGAAGACGACGUUCCUGGAGCAAAACUAAAAUUUGCAACCGUAAAAGACAACAAUGUAGUAACACUAAAACGUUGGCUUGCGUGCCGUAAUUUAAAAGUUACCGGAAAAAAAACGAGUGAAAAAAUAGCGGGAGAUUCAAACUGUAAUAAGAGAAAUUGAAAAUAAUAAUAAAUUUCAGAUUUAUUUCAGAGUGAAAUAUGAAUCAAAUAUAGAUGGUAAUGAAAAAAAAUUAAAUAAAUGAAUAUGAUUUAGUAACAGA